This 265-nucleotide ribosomal RNA is filed under the name Salmonella enterica subsp. enterica serovar Thompson. RNAcentral describes it as "partial 23S ribosomal RNA". It matches the Rfam family "Bacterial large subunit ribosomal RNA", at positions 1085 to 1348 of the family's 2925-position model. Lineage: Bacteria; Pseudomonadati; Pseudomonadota; Gammaproteobacteria; Enterobacterales; Enterobacteriaceae. The record is from RNAcentral.
CCAGACAGCCAGGAUGUUGGCUUAGAAGCAGCCAUCAUUUAAAGAAAGCGUAAUAGCUCACUGGUCGAGUCGGCCUGCGCGGAAGAUGUAACGGGGCUAAACCAUGCACCGAAGCUGCGGCAGCGACACUCAGGUGUUGUUGGGUAGGGGAGCGUUCUGUAAGCCUGUGAAGGUGUGUCGUGAGGCAUGCUGGAGGUAUCAGAAGUGCGAAUGCUGACAUAAGUAACGAUAAAGCGGGUGAAAAGCCCGCUCGCCGGAAGACCAA